RNAcentral lists this ribosomal RNA (761 nucleotides) under uncultured bacterium. RNAcentral's name for it is "bacterial SSU rRNA". It matches the Rfam family "Bacterial small subunit ribosomal RNA", at positions 30 to 766 of the family's 1533-position model. The record is from RNAcentral.
AGAACGAUGGCUGGCUGUGCCUAAUACAUGCAGUCGAGCGAAUGGAUUAAGAGCUUGCUCUUAUGAAGUUAGCGGCGGACGGGUGAGUAACACGUGGGUAACCUGCCCAUAAGACUGGGAUAACUCCGGGAAACCGGGGCUAAUACCGGAUAACAUUUUGAACCGCAUGGUUCGAAAUUGAGGGCGGCGUCUUCGGCUGUCACUUAUGGAUGGACCCGCGUCGCAUUAGCUAGUUGGUGAGGUAAACGGCUCACCAAGGCAACGAUGCGUAGCCGACCUGAGAGGGUGAUCGGCCACACUGGGACUGAGACACGGCCCAGACUCCUACGGGAGGCAGCAGUAGGGAAUCUUCCGCAAUGGACGAAAGUCUGACGGAGCAACGCCGCGUGAGUGAUGAAGGCUUUCGGGUCGUAAAACUCUGUUGUUAGGGAAGAACAAGUGCUAGUUGAAUAAGCUGGCACCUUGACGGUACCUAACCAGAAAGCCACGGCUAACUACGUGCCAGCAGCCGCGGUAAUACGUAGGUGGCAAGCGUUAUCCGGAAUUAUUGGGCGUAAAGCGCGCGCAGGUGGUUUCUUAAGUCUGAUGUGAAAGCCCACGGCUCACCGUGGAGGGUCAUUGGAAAACUGGGAGACUUGAGUGCAGAAGAGGAAAGUGGAAUUCCAUGUGUAGCGGUGAAAUGCGUAGAGAUAUGGGAGGAACACCAGUGGCGAAGGCGACUUUCUGGUCUGUAACUGACACUGAGGCGCGAAAGCGUGGGG